RNAcentral lists this ribosomal RNA (468 nucleotides) under uncultured bacterium. RNAcentral's name for it is "partial 16S ribosomal RNA". It matches the Rfam family "Bacterial small subunit ribosomal RNA", at positions 28 to 507 of the family's 1533-position model. The record is from RNAcentral.
GACGAACGCUGGCGGCGUGCUUAACACAUGCAAGUCGAACGGAAAGGCCCUGCUUUUGUGGGGUGCUCGAGUGGCGAACGGGUGAGUAACACGUGAGUAACCUGCCCUUGACUUUGGGAUAACUUCAGGAAACUGGGGCUAAUACCGGAUAGGAGCUCCUGCUGCAUGGUGGGGGUUGGAAAGUUUCGGCGGUUGGGGAUGGACUAGCGGCUUAUCAGCUUGUUGGUGGGGUAGUGGCUUACCAAGGCUUUGACGGGUAGCCGGCCUGAGAGGGUGACCGGCCACAUGGGGACUGAGAUACGGCCCAGACUCCUACGGGAGGCAGCAGUGGGGAAUAUUGCACAAUGGGCGGAAGCCUGAUGCAGCAACGCCGCGUGCGGGAUGACGGCCUUCGGGUUGUAAACCGCUUUCGCCUGUGACGAAGCGUGAGUGACGGUAAUGGGUAAAGAAGCACCGGCUAACUACGUG